This 497-nucleotide ribosomal RNA is filed under the name uncultured bacterium. Its description in RNAcentral is "partial 16S ribosomal RNA". It matches the Rfam family "Bacterial small subunit ribosomal RNA", at positions 28 to 507 of the family's 1533-position model. The record is from RNAcentral.
GAUGAACGCUGGCGGCGUGCCUAAUACAUGCAAGUCGAGCGAACAGACGAGGAGCUUGCUCCUCUGACGUUUGCGGCGGGCGGGUGAGUUACACGUGGAUAACCUAUCUAUCAGACUGGGAUAACUUCGGGAAACCGGAGCUACUACCGGAUAAUAUAUUGAACAGCAUGGUUCCCUAGUGACAGACGGUUUUGCUGUCACUUAUAGAUGGAUCCGCGCCGCAUUAGCUAGUUGGUAAGGUAACGGCUUACCAAGGCGACGAUGCGUAGCCGACCUGAGAGGAUGAUCGGCCACACUGGAACUGAGACACGGCCCAGACUCCUACGGGAGGCAGCAGUAGGGAAUCUUCCGCAAUGGGCGAAAGCCUGACGGAGCAACGCCGCGUGAGUGAUGAAGGUCUUCGGAUCGUAAAGCACUGUUAUUAGGGAAGAACAAAUUGGUAAUAAACUAGGCGGGGCUUGACGGUACCUAAACAGAAAGCAACGGCUAACUACGUG